This is a transfer RNA of Lepisosteus oculatus (spotted gar), 73 nucleotides long. It matches the Rfam family "tRNA". Rfam says of the family: Transfer RNA (tRNA) molecules are approximately 80 nucleotides in length. Their secondary structure includes four short double-helical elements and three loops (D, anti-codon, and T loops). Further hydrogen bonds mediate the characteristic L-shaped molecular structure. tRNAs have two regions of fundamental functional importance: the anti-codon, which is responsible for specific mRNA codon recognition, and the 3' end, to which the tRNAs corresponding amino acid is attached (by aminoacyl-tRNA synthetases). tRNAs cope with the degeneracy of the genetic code in two manners: having more than one tRNA (with a specific anti-codon) for a particular amino acid; and 'wobble' base-pairing, i.e. permitting non-standard base-pairing at the 3rd anti-codon position. NCBI's taxonomy places the organism in Eukaryota, Metazoa, Chordata, Actinopteri, Semionotiformes, Lepisosteidae. The record is from Rfam.
CCCCGACAAGCUCAGUUGGUAGGACAUGAGACUCAUAAUCUCAGGGUAAUGGGUUUGUGUCCCAUGUCGGGCG